RNAcentral lists this long non-coding RNA (819 nucleotides) under Elaeis guineensis (African oil palm). RNAcentral describes it as "long non-coding RNA (EGUI_LNC059803)". Lineage: Eukaryota; Viridiplantae; Streptophyta; Magnoliopsida; Arecales; Arecaceae. The record is from RNAcentral.
GAACCCCUAGGUACAGUUAUCAUAUGAUUCAGUCCUUCUAUCGUGAGUCCCAACUUGAUGGAGGUCAUGAAGAACUCAUCAAAUCUCAUCGUCAGUCAUAUGCCAAAUUGGCUCGACUCGAGUUCACUUGUGAAUCUCUUAAAAUUUUUUUUCAAUAUUCACAUUUGCUUUGGCCAAAGAUUUUCUGAACUCACCUGCAAAUUGCAUUGAACUUCUUCUUUUCUACUAAGAUCAAUAGAUUCCAUCUAGGUGCAUCCUACUCGUAAUAGUGAACUUGAACCUACUGAAGCCAAUAUACAUAGCUAAGAUCCGAAUAGCUAAGGACCAAUGGAACGUACAGUCAAACUCAGUAGCCUCACUAUGAAUAGUCGAUGACACCUCAGGUCAAAGAAUCACUCGCACCACUGCAGCAUCGAGACAACCACUGAUGAGCGAGUGACAUCCAAGUAUUUUUUUAUGUUGAUCACGCUCAGUGUAAGUUAUUUUUUAACAACCAUCUGUACUCUCAUCUCAGUAUCCCUACACUGCAGAUCUAAGACUCAUCUGUCCAGAAGGAUGAUGAUCCAUGCACCGAUCUUAAAUGAAUUGAUCACUGUCCCUUGUGACCAUCCUUUGUUCAGAAGCAUUUAAAAACUAAUCACUAAUAAUAUAUGUCUUAAAUUUUCAACACCUUAAGAAUGUAUAAAAAUCAUCUUUGUUAAUUUCUAGGAUAAAUCAUGGAUACAUAAACAUGAUUGGAAUAAAAAUAUCAUUUAUUGAUAAUAAAAGUGUUACAAGUAUAAAGUUAAGCGUUCGAAUUAUAAAAUGUAUCAGCCAAUA